Molecule: long non-coding RNA, 1968 nt
Filed under: Helianthus annuus (common sunflower)
Lineage: Eukaryota; Viridiplantae; Streptophyta; Magnoliopsida; Asterales; Asteraceae
Description: hypothetical non coding rna
Source: RNAcentral
GCCAAGAUGACCCAAAAGAAAAAUUAAAAAAAAAAAACAACAAAAAAGGAAAAUAGUCAAAAUACCAAAACCUUAGGGGUCCAAGUCAAUCUAAAUCCCAAUUUAUCCAAAUCAUUUUAGUGAUUUGGGUUCCAUUUUCAAGAUUUUAGCCAAGAAAAUCAAGAACCACAAACUGGAAACUGGAUUUGGAGUGAAUUUAGACCAACUGAACCCUACCACCAUUAUCAUUUGCCUUCGAUCACAGAAGCUAGACCGCUAACCACUUUACUUCCAAUCUUUGGUACCUUUGGUUUGAUCUCUAACGGCUCAAACUGUUUCACAGCUUCCUCGGUACCUCCCACGGCUUCAAACUCAUCAUUCAAAACUGGGUCUUUCGGUUCUAGAAUCGGGUUGGAUUUGCUUGCGGUUUCAGUGAACGAUUGGUUAUGGUUAUUCUUAUCGUCCGUCGGAUUGUUGACCGUUCGGUUGCAAGGUGAGAGCCAUUUAGCUUUGACAUAAUCGGCUCUACGCCAUGGAGGAAGAGGCAUUCCUUUCUUCUUCAAGCUCUGUUUUGCAGCGUCAGAAACUAUGUUGAUGAUGUUCUGGAGACGAUCGGGUCGACCCACGAAUAUAUGAGGAAGUAUUUGAAGAACUGCUCUGUAGCUUUUCGUGGAUCUUGCAAUUUCAAACUCUGAUCUGAAAUCUAUGUCCACAAUCACUCGAUCCCCUUCUAGCAUAACAUCAAUAUACUCAUAUUCCCCUCUGGAUAAGUAGAAGUUUUCUCCCACCGGGAUUUACAGAUAGAAACAGAGUAUCCGGCAGCCAAGAGCCCAUCGGUAACAAUCUUUCUGCUAAUUUCAUCUUUCUUCUUGCAGAUCUUGUUCUUAUCCACAAUUUUAGCAACAUCCGCCAAUAAAUUCCUCUCAAACACCGUCUCACAAACCACCAAACUCUGUAUAAAAUGUUCAAAAUCAACAUUUUAGGGUUCCAAUUUCCAAACCGUACAAUUUGAUAAAAUACUUGAUAAUAUUAUUAUUUAUCACCUUAAGAGGGUCACAUGCAUCUGUGGAUGAACUAAUAGAGUUUCCAAAACAAUUAAACGAGUCAAGUUCAUCUUCAGAGCCAUCGGAACUGCACUCGCCGGUGCCGGAAUUACACCGGCGAUGAUUGCACCGACCACACUUGUUCAAACAAACAGACUGUUUCUCUUUCUCGGUGCUUUCCUCCAUGAAAUUCUGAACCAUUUUGUCCAAACAAACAGAGCUCGGCUCGAAUUCGUCUACAACAUCCUUGCCGCAUUGCGUUUCGCCGGCGCCGGACCUGUCCGCUACCGCCGAUGACCUCAAAAAGCUCGAGAAAUCAAACAAACGUCUCAACCGAGACUUCUGCACUGUCUUCACCGACUCGAAACACUCAGGAGAUGAACAAUCGACCGGUUGUAUCUUCAUCGUCAACGGCAUAACAAAAAUCUCUCCGAUUAUCACUUAAUUUGAAGUUUUGAACAAACGAAACCCUAGAAAACCUAAAAACCCUAAUUUUCAAAAUCAACAACACUACUACAAAAUCAAAUUACUGAAUCUAAACGGCUGUAAUAGUAAAAAUACAGCACACGAACUAGUAUAUCAUCAAAUCACGCGAAAUCAAUCGGCUCAAAACCCUAAAACUCCGAUAAAAUCAAAAAAACCUGAAAAAAUUAUGUAUUUAUCUUCGAAUUAGCAGUAUUAACAUACUCUUUGUGUUCAUUUAACAUCGAUUUGUCUGACAAUUGAUGAAAUAACUUCUAAUUUCUGCUAAUUUUGUUCGAUUUCGCUAGGGUUUUAGGUUAGGUGAGAACGGCAUCUACGAAGAUUAACACAUCACGGCGACGAACGGCGGAUGGAAAAGUCAUCUCCGGCGAAAUCAUUACACAAGUUUACAGUCAGAUUAUCGCCGGCGACGGCGUACGGUGAUCGGAAAAGUUUUCUGGUUGUUGAGUUUUUUGGGUGUUGU